RNAcentral lists this ribosomal RNA (331 nucleotides) under uncultured bacterium. RNAcentral's name for it is "bacterial SSU rRNA". It matches the Rfam family "Bacterial small subunit ribosomal RNA", at positions 568 to 898 of the family's 1533-position model. The record is from RNAcentral.
CGCGUAGGUGGUAGUGUAAGUCUGGGGUGGAAUCCCAGGGCUUAACCCUGGAACUGCCUUGGAAACUGUAUUACUUGAGUCAGUGAGGGGAGGGUAGAAUUCCUGGUGUAGCGGUGAAAUGCGUAGAUAUCAGGAGGAAGGCCUGUGGCGAAGGCGGCCCUCUGGCGCUGGACUGACACUGAGGCGCGAAAGCGUGGGGAGCAAACAGGAUUAGAUACCCUGGUAGUCCACGCCCUAAACGGUGGGCACUAGGUGUAGGGCUCGUAAGGGUUCUGUGCCGAAGGGAAACCAUUAAGUGCCCCGCCUGGGGAGUACGGCCGCAAAGGUUGAA